This 75-nucleotide transfer RNA is filed under the name Candidatus Jorgensenbacteria bacterium. RNAcentral's name for it is "tRNA-Asn". It matches the Rfam family "tRNA". Rfam says of the family: Transfer RNA (tRNA) molecules are approximately 80 nucleotides in length. Their secondary structure includes four short double-helical elements and three loops (D, anti-codon, and T loops). Lineage: Bacteria; Candidatus Joergenseniibacteriota. The record is from RNAcentral.
UCCCCGGUAGCUCAGCGGUAGAGCGACUCCCUGUUAAGGAGACGGUCGCCCGUUCGAAUCGGGCCCGGGGAGCCA